Molecule: ribosomal RNA, 432 nt
Filed under: uncultured bacterium
Lineage: Bacteria
Description: partial 16S ribosomal RNA
Rfam family: Bacterial small subunit ribosomal RNA
Source: RNAcentral
AACGAACGCUGGCGGCAGGCCUAACACAUGCAAGUCGAGCGAGGACUUCGGUUCUAGCGGCGGACGGGUGAGUAACGCGUGGGAAUGUGCCCUUCUCUACGGAAUAGCCCUGGGAAACUGGAGUAAUACCGUAUACGCCCUAUUGGGGAAAGAUUUAUCGGAGAAGGAUCAGCCCGCGUUGGAUUAGGUAGUUGGUGGGGUAAUGGCCUACCAAGCCGACGAUCCAUAGCUGGUUUGAGAGGAUGAUCAGCCACACUGGGACUGAGACACGGCCCAGACUCCUACGGGAGGCAGCAGUGGGGAAUCUUAGACAAUGGGGGCAACCCUGAUCUAGCCAUGCCGCGUGAGUGAUGAAGGCCUUAGGGUUGUAAAGCUCUUUCAGCUGGGAAGAUAAUGACGGUACCAGCAGAAGAAGCCCCGGCUAACUCCGUG